AAGAAAUUAGUUAAAUAAAUUAUAACCUUUGUUUGUCAUACAAAAAUUAUCCUUAAAGAUAUUUCUUA
RNAcentral lists this transfer RNA (68 nucleotides) under Varuna litterata. Its description in RNAcentral is "tRNA-Asp". The record is from RNAcentral. Lineage: Eukaryota; Metazoa; Arthropoda; Malacostraca; Decapoda; Varunidae.